UGAAUCGUGCACAUUUAACGCUCGCGUAAAAAAUGACGCCGAAAUCUUGACACACGUGCGUGGCCUGUUGCUGUACUACAGAUCUGAAAUAGACCUCGAUCUUUCGAAAAUCAUUAUGCCUACGAUCAGCAAGUGUGACACGAGGCAACAGAACUUUCUCAAUAGAAUUAAAUGGUCGAUGCUUUUCCCGCCAGAUUCCGCCAAAUAUACCGCUUGGAAUAACAUUAGCCAUUCAGUUUUAGAGACUCGAUUCCAUGGGUUGUAAAUCGUGUUGACUGAUCCAGAAGUAUUUGUUGUACUGCUAGGAUGGAUUUUGUAAAAUCUUUGACCGUUCGCGAAAGAACAUCGAAUUUAAACUUGGACUAUGACGUUAGUUUAUUACGAUUGAAGUGCUUGCCGAAAAAUCUCUUUCAUUGGGCAUCUCCAAACUUGACCACACCAGAUCCUGUAGAUAAUCCUCCAGUUUUUGCUGGAAAAUUUUGUAAUGCACCUGGUUCCAAAAAUCUUUUGGCCAUUGCCAAUGAAGAUGGUAAAAUUCUUUUGCAAGACAUAUCACAUAGAUGCAGUGAUGAUACACAAGAACUUCCUGAAGGCAUACAGGCUCACAACAAUGCUAUAUUUGAUAUAGCAUGGAUGCCCAAGGAAACAAAAUUGGUGUCUGUAUCAGGAGAAAGAAAUGCUGCGCUUUGGCAAGUUAAGGAUGGAGAAUUAACAAAACUGUCAAGCUUUGUUGGGCAUACACAUUCUAUUAAAAGUGUAUCAUUUAGACCUGAAGACAAAGCUGUUUUUGCUACUGGAAGUAGAGAUGGUUCAAUUAAAAUUUGGGAUACUAGAGCUAAUUACUCUAGUGCAUCCAAGGCUGAUGAUACAAUUAGUAAUGCACAUGUAUCAAAAAUGUAUAGAGCGAGUAGAAAAACAAAUAUAAAAAAUGUUGGUCUCAGUGUUACUACUCUUCAAUUUCAAGAUGAUUUUAAUCUAAUUUCUGGUUCUGAUGGAGAUGGUGAAUUGAAAGUUUGGGAUCUAAGAAAAAUUUACUCAACUCACAAAAAAUUCCCAGUUGCUAAACAUGUAUUGUUAUAUGGAGGAAAAAGUCAUACAUACUGUGGAUUCACAUCUGUACUUGUUGAUCCUUAUGGUCUGAACUUGUAUGCUAGCUGCGUAGACAACGUUAUAUAUUCGUAUAAUUUGACUUCCUAUAAUCCAAACCCAGUUGCAAGAUAUUAUGGGCAUGGAAAAACCAAUACUCCUUUAAGUUUCUUUGUAAAAGCUUGUUUGAGUCCAGAUGGAAAGUAUUUAAUAACCGGUUCAAAUGAUAAGGCAGCUUAUAUAUGGGCUACAAAAAAACCAGGAUAUCCUAUUAUCGAACUUACUGGUCACAGAGAAGAAGUAACUUGUGUGGCAUGGUGUGACGAUGUUAUUCCUAAACUUGUAACUUUUUCUGAUGACUGUUACCAUCGAUUAUGGGAAGUAGAACCUGAUCAAGAUUUCGUGGAUGAUAACCAAAUUGUAGGAAUGUCUGUGAGAUAUCAACCUAAAACAUCUAAUUCACCGAGAAAAUGUUCUGAACACGCAGACUUAGAAGCACAAGAUACAAUGCUUGGACAGACAAGUGAAGAAAUAAGUGAGAACCAUCAUAAAGAAACUCAUGAUGAAAGAUCAUUACUUGUCGAUGAAUCAUUAAUCAAUAACACAGUACCUGGAAGUAAAGAAUUACGUGCCAUUCCAUGUCCAUCAACUCCUAAAAAUACAAGUCUUCAGAAAUAUAUUAUACCUGGAACUAGUAACGUACCUUCAUCAAGUUCUUGCUCGAGUAGAGAACCCUUUUCUCCUACAGUAGGUUUGCCUAAUUUUGUAAUUGAUGGAAUAGCACCUCAUCUUCAUGUUUCACCUCAAAAAUCGAAGGAAAAUUCAAAUUGGCUUGCACAACUUACACAAGCCAAACAAAAACGUAAAAUUGUAGAUACAAGUGAAGACGAAUGUAGUAGUCCUAAAAAUACUAAAAAAACACCGAAGUCAGUGAAAAGAAAGAAAUUUGCAACUGUCAACACACCGAAACUCGACCGGAAACUUUUAGAUUUUUGUGAAAGUGCUAAGGACUCAAAUCAUCAAAAAUCUUCAUCAAGAUAAAUAUUUCUAGAAGAAAUUGAAGUUUGAAAUGAAAUUUUUUAGAAUUAUGGAAUCAAUAUUCUAUUGAAAUUUUGGAGUUUAGAAUAGUGUUAUUUGGAUUUAGAGGAGUAAAAUUUAACAAGUCACACCUAGAACUGAAAGAUAAAUAUAAAUUUUAAAGUUUCACAGAGAGGACCAGAAAAAGGAUGAAGAAAAAAGUGAAGAUGAAAAUGAAAACAUACAUCAAGGCGGCGAUUGAAAUCUCAAUAAUGUACAAAAGACAAACUCGAAAUACUCCGAACAAAUGAAUUUUUUUUCGUGUUAACUCAUUCGAAUAUUUAGGCCUGUGGUCUAAACGAAAUUUUUAAUUUCUACUAGAGAUUCUCGAAAUUUCAGGUAUGCACUCAAGCUACCAAAAAAGCUUAAGAGUAUUGAAGCUUAGUUUUUGAUGUGUUAAAAACGUUAAUGGUUGCGUAAAUAUCAUAGAACUGUAUAGAACGAUUGAGAAAGACUUUUAUGUAAAAUCGAAUACUCUAUAUUUUAUACACAAUUUUUACUAUAAUAUGAAUGUAAAUAGAAAUCGAAUCGAACAAAAUGUAAGCUUUAAUAGUUAUGCUCUGAACAAG
Molecule: unclassified non-coding RNA, 2732 nt
Filed under: Trichogramma pretiosum
Lineage: Eukaryota; Metazoa; Arthropoda; Insecta; Hymenoptera; Trichogrammatidae
Description: protein lethal(2)denticleless, transcript variant X2
Source: RNAcentral